ACACAGAAUAUGUACAGACAAAAACAAGUAUGCUAAUGAAAUUUCUUCAAAUACUACAAACAAUUAGUGAAGACUGCUACUAUAGGCUGCUGCUGUAUUUUUAAGAGGCUCAACUUCAAAUACUUCAACCUUUUAUGGAAAGAUGGAAACACACAACAAACUAUGUAGAUCUUGAUACAAGUCUCCAUCAAGUUGAUUCAUUUUCAAAAGUAAAUUACAUCCUAAUCUCAAACCUGUGGCAAGACAAGUCAAAUCAUCAAAGAAUGUCCUGUGACAGCCAAGGAGGCGGCCCCGCGGGAACCAGGUCCUGCGAGGAGGGCGGUCGGCCGCUCCCUCCCGACUCCCUCCUGGGCCGGCGGCCCAGGGUGCGGCGCUGCCAGCAGGUUGAUCGGGCGGAGCUUUGGGAGCGGCUCGACUGACCGCCCGAGGGGCUGAGGCUUCAAGGCGAGAUCACCGCCGGCCAAAUAAGAAUAAACAAACUC
Homo sapiens (human) is the source of this 482-nucleotide long non-coding RNA. RefSeq annotates it as C1QTNF7 antisense RNA 1. Lineage: Eukaryota; Metazoa; Chordata; Mammalia; Primates; Hominidae. The record is from RefSeq and is marked validated.